Molecule: ribosomal RNA, 427 nt
Filed under: uncultured bacterium
Lineage: Bacteria
Description: partial 16S ribosomal RNA
Rfam family: Bacterial small subunit ribosomal RNA
Source: RNAcentral
UGGGGAAUAUUGCACAAUGGGCGCAAGCCUGAUGCAGCCAUGCCGCGUGUAUGAAGAAGGCCUUCGGGUUGUAAAGUACUUUCAGCGGGGAGGAAGGUGUUGAGGUUAAUAACCUCAGCAAUUGACGUUACCCGCAGAAGAAGCACCGGCUAACUCCGUGCCAGCAGCCGCGGUAAUACAGAGGGUGCAAGCGUUAAUCGGAAUUACUGGGCGUAAAGCGCACGCAGGCGGUCUGUCAAGUCGGAUGUGAAAUCCCCGGGCUCAACCUGGGAACUGCAUUCGAAACUGGCAGGCUAGAGUCUUGUAGAGGGGGGUAGAAUUCCAGGUGUAGCGGUGAAAUGCGUAGAGAUCUGGAGGAAUACCGGUGGCGAAGGCGGCCCCCUGGACAAAGACUGACGCUCAGGUGCGAAAGCGUGGGGAGCAAACA